This is a non-coding RNA of Pelobates cultripes (western spadefoot toad), 641 nucleotides long. NCBI's taxonomy places the organism in Eukaryota, Metazoa, Chordata, Amphibia, Anura, Pelobatidae. The record is from the annotation of a GenBank genome assembly.
GGCCGAAGAAACUGAGAUACUUAUUUAUGAGGACAUAAACUUUGCACGCAAGAACCUGGAAAGUCCUGAAGGUGCAGUGCUGUCUAAUACCGCUGGUUCUGUAAUAACCCUUUCAACCAUUGGGGUGUUGCACAGAGCUUUGUGGUGAAAAUCCAGCAAACAAAAGAAGAACUAUGUGGAAGCUGACAUUGUCUUGUUGUCAGCCAUAUUGCUACCCUUAGCCAUUUUAUGGAACAAAAUGUCUGGUGUCUAAACUGAUUUCUUUAUACUCUGUGAAAGACUUAUUCUAUUUUUCUGAACUAUGCUGAACUAUUGAACUAUUUUUAUUUUUAUUUUUGUAGAGUUAGCCAGAGAGAGAGGAAGUGUUAGCUGACCCAGAGUUAGCUGUACUAUGUGUGUUUUUGAUAUAUGUUGAGUGUGCCAAGGAUGGAUUCCCAUGUUUUGAGGAACUGCGUGAGGAUAUGACUGGUUUUGACUGGACUUUUGGAAUAGCGAAAAGGUUAAAAGAUAUAGGACGCAAGGUCCUGGUUGUGAUUAUUGUCAGAAUUUCAAGCUAGAUUAUAAUUUAUCUCAUGAAUUAAUAUGUAAGAAGUGUUUCCCAAUUCCUCCCAAUACCCAAGCUAUGUACUCACAGGUGCGGG